AUCCAGCUAAAGAGUCCCAAAUAGGACGAAACGCACGUUCUAAAU
Molecule: non-coding RNA, 45 nt
Organism: Schistosoma rodhaini
Lineage: Eukaryota; Metazoa; Platyhelminthes; Trematoda; Strigeidida; Schistosomatidae
Source: Rfam